Molecule: ribosomal RNA, 434 nt
Filed under: Copris sp. dgi1
Lineage: Eukaryota; Metazoa; Arthropoda; Insecta; Coleoptera; Scarabaeidae
Description: partial 16S ribosomal RNA
Source: RNAcentral
GUCUUUUUGAUUAUAAUUUAAAGUCUGACCUGCCCAAUGAAGAAUUUUAAAUGGCUGCGGUAUUUUGACCGUACAAAGGUAGCAUAAUAAUUAGUUUUUUAAUUGAGAACUGGAAUGAAAGGUUGAACGAGAAAAAUACUGUCUCAAUUUAAAUUAAAAUUUGAAUUUUAUAUUUAAGUUAAAAAGCUUAAAUAUUCUUAAAAGACGAGAAGACCCUAUAGAGUUUUAUAUUAUUAAUUAUUAAUUAAAUUAAAGGUAUUUUUUUUUAUAAUAAUUUAAUAUUAUUUGAUUGGGGUGAUUAAAAAAUUUAUUAAACUUUUUUUUUAUUUUUACAUUAAUGUAUGAAUAAUUGAUCCAUUAUUAAUGAUUAUAAGUUUAAAUUACCUUAGGGAUAACAGCGUUAUUUUUUUUUAGAGUUCUUAUCGAAAAAAAAG